Triticum urartu is the source of this 1901-nucleotide long non-coding RNA. RefSeq lists it as uncharacterized. Lineage: Eukaryota; Viridiplantae; Streptophyta; Magnoliopsida; Poales; Poaceae. The record is from RefSeq and is a predicted model, not a curated record.
CAGUGUUGCGCUGAGGGGAUCCAUCAAUGAGGAAUACAGAGGAGAGGAGCGCCCGCGUCCAUCAGUGCGCCGCCGGCCGACGGGACGAAUCCCCUGGCCACGCUGCCAUCUCCCUCUGCCGCCGCCAGCAGUACGUGCUCCUGCUUCCCUCUGCCGCCCCGUCCCUUCUCGACGCCCCCCUCACUCACACUUCGCCUUCCGCCAUAGCCCUUCCCAUCAUGGCCCCGACCCCCCUGUGCCUCCAUGUCGCCAGCCACAUCUAGCCGUUUGGAACUCUUCCGAUCUGAACCUGGUCGUCCUUGCCCACCCAUUGCUCCAAUCCAAGUGCCCCGCCUGUUGGUUGGCUUUUGCCUCUUCGACGAUCAGACCCGGGCAGCAAAGAGGCCGUAAAUCACCUCCUCCUCAUGCCCGUAUGAUCACCCAAGCACUCGUGGUGGCCGUCUCCUUGUUCUUCCUCUUCACCAGAAGAUACAGCCAGAUUUUGUUGCUCUUUUGAAGAGUCGAUCAAGCCACUUCUCGCUGCACACUCCAAUGUAAUUUUGUCCUGGUAUGAACUAUGUACAAAACACAUAUCAUGACCACUCAUUUUUUUGCAGGUGUUAUUAUUGACAUUUGCAUGAUUUGAUUAUUGUCAGUAGCAGUCCAUCUGUAGCUGGUAAAGUGGGUCAAACUUAUUAUAUCUGUGACUUACCACGUGUUUGUUGAAUCAAUGUUGAAAACAACAAAGGGAAUAAUUAUCCUGUGUCUAAUUUAAAUGCAGUCCUACCUAAACUUGUGGCUGGCUCUCUUUUUAGUCUUGCUUACCAUCUGGAUUAGCCCUGAUCCAUCUUCAUCACCAUGUUUACAUAUACAAAUGUUAUUGGAAUAGUAUCUGGAAUUUCAGAUAUACUGAAGGCAUGAUUACCUGCUAGAGCACAAGAAUCAGAUGAAAGGAACUUGCUGUUCACAGAUAUUGAGUAAGCUAUUUCAUAUAGAUCAUGAUACAUUAAACUUAUCUGUUGAUUUUAUGAUAUUUAAUCCAUGAUGCUAUGUUUAGUGGAAACACUAUGGAAGUUGCACUGUGGAGAGAACAUGCAACUUCCUUCCAGGCUGAUAAUCUAUACAACCUUGGUCGGACGCAACUAAUUCCAGUUCUUUUGAUUGAAAAUUUUAUGAAAAGUUACCUAGGUAUGGUUGAUGUUUCAAAGUAUUUAUUUACACCUUUUCAAUUAAGAAAGAAGCCACAUGGUUAUAAAAAAUGUAGGCUGUUCACAAUAAGCUGCAGCGAUGCUGCUAAGAUUUAUAUCAAUCCAGAUAUACCUGAGAAGAUAAAUUAUUGUGCUAGGUAAAAAAAGUAACUAACAUUACAAAUUGUAACACAUAUCAGUAACUGUUGUAAUAUACUUACCUUUAUGUUCAUUAUGCUGAAUGCAGACUAGGUAAACAAAUGCGUACCAUGUCUGACAUUUAUGGCAGCACGUGAUGAUCGGUACAAUCCAUCAAUUAGUAAUGAAAGGGCUGGCACCGUCAAGGUCGAUUUCCUGGUUACCAUGAAUCCUAAUGAAUUCCAGAUACAUCGUACCUCUAAAUAAUGUUAUUCUGAAGGCCGAUUUCCUGGUUACCAUGAAUCCUAAUGAAUUCCAGAUACAUCGUACCUCUAAACAUUUUCUUGGGAAUAAUAUGAUGAGCACGGUCACAAUAAUGAGACUGGCCUCAGAACAUUGGUGAUUCCUCUCUUGCCAAAUAUGCCAUAGGAAGGCAUUUCAAGUUGGAAGUGCAUUUGUUUGCAGCAAUAACGUAGUUACAGCAGCAGUGAAUGUAAACGACUUUAUUCAUCAGUUAUGUGUGGUGCAAAAUGAUAACUGAAUACUUAGAAAUGCCUGAAUAUUAAACACCCAUUAAACACGAUAUAAUGGUCAUUA